GAAGUGAAUGUGAUUAAAGGCAGAAAGCAGCGGAUCCGUGUGAGACGCGCUCCGGUUUUAACUUCUGAUUUUUAAACCUGACGUUAACGAGCUUCACGAACGUGGACAGAGCAGCUGGAAGGAUAACAGAAUGAAGAGGUCUUUCCUCAAGUCAGCUUCUGCUGGAGCCAGGGAUGUGAAGAAGUUCUCCAAAUCUGAAGUGCAGACACUGGUCAAGCAGGAGGUUCGUCGAGCUGUGAGACAGAAUGAAGCCAAGCUGAAGGGUUUGAUGGAAAACAUUCAACAGCUGGAUAGUGGAGUCAUCUGUGAAAGGGCCAUCCGGAGGCUGGAGAUGAAGUUACAAAGACUGUUCUGCUUUGUGUCAGCCAUCCUUCAUCUGUCAGUCCUGACCUCUUCAUCGAGCUGGUUUGUUUGUUCUUCUCAUUAGAGUACAUCCAGUUGAAGUGUACAUAUGUCUGUAGA
Molecule: long non-coding RNA, 462 nt
Organism: Parambassis ranga (Indian glassy fish)
Lineage: Eukaryota; Metazoa; Chordata; Actinopteri; Ambassidae
Source: Ensembl